This 576-nucleotide ribosomal RNA is filed under the name uncultured bacterium. RNAcentral describes it as "bacterial SSU rRNA". It matches the Rfam family "Bacterial small subunit ribosomal RNA", at positions 102 to 674 of the family's 1533-position model. The record is from RNAcentral.
ACGGGUGAGUAAUGUCUGGGGAUCUGCCCGAUAGAGGGGGAUAACCACUGGAAACGGUGGCUAAUACCGCAUAACGUCGCAAGACCAAAGAGGGGGACCUUCGGGCCUCUCACUAUCGGAUGAACCCAGAUGGGAUUAGCUAGUAGGCGGGGUAAUGGCCCACCUAGGCGACGAUCCCUAGCUGGUCUGCGAGGAUGACCAGCCACACUGGAACUGAGACACGGUCCAGACUCCUACGGGAGGCAGCAGUGGGGAAUAUUGCACAAUGGGCGCAAGCCUGAUGCAGCCAUGCCGCGUGUAUGAAGAAGGCCUUCGGGUUGUAAAGUACUUUCAGCGGGGAGGAAGGCGAUGCGGUUAAUAACCGCGUCGAUUGACGUUACCCGCAGAAGAAGCACCGGCUAACUCCGUGCCAGCAGCCGCGGUAAUACGGAGGGUGCAAGCGUUAAUCGGAAUUACUGGGCGUAAAGCGCACGCAGGCGGUCUGUUAAGUCAGAUGUGAAAUCCCCGGGCUUAACCUGGGAACUGCAUUUGAAACUGGCAGGCUUGAGUCUUGUAGAGGGGGGUAGAAUUCCAGGU